This is a long non-coding RNA of Phyllopteryx taeniolatus (common seadragon), 1737 nucleotides long. RefSeq lists it as uncharacterized. The record is from RefSeq and is a predicted model, not a curated record. NCBI's taxonomy places the organism in Eukaryota, Metazoa, Chordata, Actinopteri, Syngnathiformes, Syngnathidae. The transcript has 2 exons.
UCGUGUCAACUGAAAAAUUCCACACAAUUGUUUUAUUGUUUGCAGUUUUAUAUAAUCAUUUGCGACGUGAUUAGCUGCAGGCAUUUCAAUAAAUAAAUCCAACCCCUUGUAUGCAGUUGCAUGCAUAACUUGACAAUUUCCUCUUUUUUUUUUUUUUUUAUGACGAUGAUUAUUUGGCGGCCCUGUCACAGCGCACAUUGGCUGCUGCGAGGCCACCGCGGAGCUCGCUUUGCAGCGGCUGCAACCUGACUCCAAUAUGCUACGAAUGAGAGACUCGAUCUUGGAUUAAGAUCCCCGCAGCCGUACCGACAUUCGGCUUGCUGCUGAGAGCGCACGUGGAACACAAGCUGAAAAAUAACACGUACUAAUACGCUCCUUGCGUGGGGUUGAAACAUCAGGAAGCAGCACGGGCGAGCCGUGUGGCCCUGCGGGUUAUUUGAUUUGAUUUGAUUAAGAUAAGCUCCAUGCAGAGGAACCAAACAAAACAAAUCUUGUGGAACUUUUGAGACGAAAACGCUCCGCCUCUCACUCAGUCCAGACUAAUUCUACGAGGUGUGCAGAGGCUUUUAAGCUCUAAUUGAGCACAGGAAAAGCAAAGGCGAACUCUGCACAGACCAGGCUGCGUUUUUAUAGCUGUUCAACUAUUCUGCUGAGCUUUUUUUUUUUUUUUUUUUUUCUCUCCCCCCCACCCCUUACAACCAGACAAACACCACAAAACUGGCCAAGCAUGGCAGCAAGUCGCCACCUACAACGGCUCCAAAGUCAGCAGCUUGAGGAGCUGCAACAACAACGCCAAACAAGUGGACAUAUAGCUGGGCCAAAGCCGUGUGCAACAAGGUCUUGUUAGACUCCGAGUCAACAAUUCAUUGUGAGAAGAAUCUGAGGGUCCAGUUUAACCCCGCGUCAGGUAGGCCCGGCUGGCCGGAAAGCAGCCUAAAUUGGCGCAUUCAGACCUUGCAGAAAGGAACCUCCUGUAGUUUGUCCUUCAGUGCUGCCUGGUUUUGUUUUCAUUUUAUGAUGGAAAAAAAAAAAAAAAAAAAAAGGAGCUAUCACACCUGCAAGUCAAAAGGGGAAAUACUCUAAGUUUACAAGAUGAACCAAUGGAUCCACUGUUAGGACACACAUUUGGAAGAAAAGUUGAAGGAAUAAAAGGACACGUUUGAAAGUAGCGAACAUAGAACAUAGUGCCAUUACGCGCGCAGCCGAAAUGCAUUGCAAUGAAUCUCCUUUCCUAAAUACUUCACCUUAUUCACACACAUCAAUCAUAAACGUUUGCACAUUUUUUUUUUUUUUUUUUUUUUGAAGAGUAAAAUCUUGUUUUUGAACUUGAAUGGUGCACGGUUGCUGCCCGCGCUGACAGCAGGCUGCAGUUGCGCGGGGAGUGUAAAACCGUUUGGGUGUAACAGGGUCAAAAACAUUCACACCUCAGAGUUUAGGAGCGGAAAAGACAACGGGGACAUUAAGGUGAGUUUAAAGGAGGGGGGGGGGGGGGAAGAAGGAGAACCUGAUUGGAGGCGCAUCGGAUGUUUUUCUCCCUCCACAGGUGACAGAAAAGUGCCGGGACCACACAGGAGCCUCGCUGGGGAAAGUGAGCAACUCCACGGUCAACGGGAGCAUCUCCGGACGAGCCAGUGGAGGAGGUCCACAAUGGCGGCUUGGCGUUUCGGUGGACAAUGGACCCGGACAGAAGGAAAUAAAGCGGAUUUUAGUGCCACAAUAAAUGAAAUACGAAGCAUG